This 440-nucleotide ribosomal RNA is filed under the name uncultured bacterium. RNAcentral describes it as "bacterial SSU rRNA". It matches the Rfam family "Bacterial small subunit ribosomal RNA", at positions 30 to 504 of the family's 1533-position model. The record is from RNAcentral.
UGAACGCUGGCGGUAUGCCUAACACAUGCAAGUCGUACGAGAGUUUUUAACUCUAGUGGCGGACGGGUGAGUAACACGUGAGAAUUUACCUUUAGGAGGGGGAUAACAAUUGGAAACGAUUGCUAAUACCCCAUAUGCUUUUGAGUGAAAUGGAUUUAUAUUUAUCCGACUAAAGAGAAGCUUGCGGCUGAUUAGCUUGUUGGUGAGGUAAUGGCUCACCAAGGCGACGAUCAGUAUCUGGUUUGAGAGGACGAUCAGACACACUGGAACUGAGACACGGUCCAGACUCCUACGGGAGGCAGCAGUAGGGAAUUUUCCGCAAUGGGCGAAAGCCUGACGGAGCAAUACCGCGUGAGGGAUGACGGCCUAUGGGUUGUAAACCUCUUUUUUCAGGGAGGAAUCAAUGACGUGUACCUGAAGAAUAAGCAUCGGCUAACUCC